UGAAAAUGGCGAAACGAAACUUGUGAAUCGUGCAUUUGCUCUUCAUGGUAGCUGCCAGAAAAUCGAAUCAAGCUUAUGGGACACUGGAUUACAGGUUGCUGCCACUACUCCAUGUGCCCGCAAUUGUCUUGCGUGUAUGAUUACACUAACGACGUCGCCCACCACGGCGGAAGUGUUUUGCGUACACGCGUUUCAGCAUGAAGCCUGCAGGUGGACGUAAAUUGUAGAAGGCAGCUAGUGGGGGAGAAGAUCAUGGUCAUAGGUCAUGUGGCUCCUGGAGCUCCCAGUGGGCUCCCUUGUGGAGUACUUUUCAGAACACACACACAGUUCGCUCACAGAUCCAACGAGUAGGAUGU
Molecule: long non-coding RNA, 356 nt
Organism: Ornithodoros turicata
Lineage: Eukaryota; Metazoa; Arthropoda; Arachnida; Ixodida; Argasidae
Exons: 3
Source: RefSeq, a predicted model, not a curated record